GGGAAAUUUGGAGUGCCACUGGAAAAUGAGGGUAUAUUGGAUAGGGACAGAAAUUUUGCCGUGUAACAGUCCACCUACGCAACCCUCAAAUUAUAGUUGUUGCAAUGGUUCUUAACGGGCAUAGAGUGUGGCACUCUCUUUACACGAGGCAUCGGAUUUAACGUCCCCAUUCUGACCGGACGUGACUCCGAGUUUAAUACAUCCUGCACAGCCAAACG
This 218-nucleotide long non-coding RNA is filed under the name Mytilus galloprovincialis (Mediterranean mussel). The record is from RNAcentral. Lineage: Eukaryota; Metazoa; Mollusca; Bivalvia; Mytilida; Mytilidae.